CUCACUUACCCCGACAGGGGUUGUUAUUGUGUGCUACGGUGCCCCUCGAGCUCGCCUCACCUCUGGGUAGCGACAAGACAGUGAGUCGUGAUCGCGGCAAUAAAUCAGCACACAGGUGUCACCAUACUUAACGCUGAUCUGCAUACAGACACAAGAACCAUGGCCUACAACAGUGAGUCGAGAUUGACGUCAGCUGACAUCGGCGUCGUCGUUGGCUACUUUGUCCUUGUCGUCGGUGUUGGCGUUUUUGCGAUGUGCAGAGCCAAACGGAACUCUAUCAGUGGUUACUUCCUGGCGGGGAGGUCCAUGUGGUUUGUACCGAUCGGAGCAUCCCUGUUUGUGAGCAACAUCGGCACCGAGCACUUCAUCGGCCUCGCCGGCUCUGGGGCCGGCAACGGCAUUAGCGUUGGGGCGUGGGAGCUUAACGCCCUGAUGCUCCUGCAGCUUCUUGGCUGGAUCUUCGUGCCAGUGUAUAUUGCAUGUGGGACCUACACCAUGCCGGAGUAUCUCUCCAAGAGAUUCGGGGGAACCAGAAUGAGAGUGUACUUCGCCUUUCUCUCCCUCAUCCUUUACAUCUUCACCAAAUGUUCUGGGGACCUCUUCACCGGUGCCCUGUUUAUACAGCAGUCACUCAAGUGGGAUCUGUACCUGAGCAUCGUGUUGCUGGUCCUCAUCACCGCUGUUCUCACAAUUACAGGUGGCUUGACAGCUGUCAUCUACACAGACACGCUUCAGGCGGUCCUGAUGUUGACGGGAGCACUGUACCUCACCGGAGCGGGGUUUUAUGAGAUCGGUGGUUUUACUGGACUACUGGAGAAGUACCCUCAGGCAGUGCCAAAGAACGCCAGCUCCAUCGUCCCCGGUACGACGUGUCACCACCCUGACAAGCAGGCGUUCAGGAUGCUGCGGGAGGUGGACGACGACUACAUGCCUUGGCUCGGCUUCCUCCUCGGACAGACGCCGGGGUCCAUUUGGUACUGGUGUGCAGACCAGGUCAUCGUGCAGCGUGCUCUCGCCGCGAAAAGUAUCUCCCAUGCUCAAGGGGCUACUCUCAUGGCAGGCUUCAUCAAGAUCCUCCCCAUCUUCAUCAUGGUGAUGCCAGGCAUGAUGAGCAGGAUCCUGUAUCCAGACGAGGUAGCCUGCACCAACCCAGACUACUGCAUGGAGGUGUGUCAGAGCAAGGCUGGAUGCACGAACAUCGCCUUCCCUCGACUCGUGCUGGGACUUAUGCCAGACGGUGCCCGCGGUCUCAUGAUGGCGGUGAUGGUGGCAGCUUUGAUGAGUGACCUGGACUCCAUAUUCAACAGCGCUAGCACUCUCUUCACCAUCGACAUAUGGAAGAGGUUCCGACAGAGGGCCUCAGUCACGGAACUCAUGAUAGUGGGGCGGGUGUUUAUCGUGGUCAUGGUGGGCGUGUCCAUCGCGUGGGUGCCUGUCAUCAAGGAGAGCCAGGGCGGCCAGGUCUUCAUCUACAUCCAGGAGAUCACCAACUACCUCGCGCCGCCGUUUGCUGCCGUCUUCCUGCUCGGUGUCCUCGUGCCCAGGGUCAACGAGAAGGGUGCCUUUUGGGCCCUGAUGGUGGCCUUUGUAACUGGCAUGGUCCGUCUGUUCGUGGUGAUGGUGUACCAGUUUGAUGGGGAGACCUACUGCGGGGCCAAGAACACUGGUUACCAGCUGCCUGGUAUCGUUAAGAACUUCCACUACAUGUACUUCUCACUGUUCAUCACCCUCCUCACUGCGGUCCUCGCCAUCGUCAUCAGCCUCUUCACCGAGAAACCAGAGGAAAAAUAUUUAAUAAGAACCACAUACUGGACACGCCAUGAUCCACGGAGACCAGACGUCCUUGACAUGGAGCUGAGCAGAGGUCACGGUAUUAAGGCAGGGGUAGACAAUCCCGCUGUAGAGAUGAACGAUGUCGAUGUCAAGGUCGCCGAUGGGGAGUUGGUGAAAAAGGUGUUCAGAUCACCGGAAGUGACCGACGAAUCGGCAGAACAAGCCCCCGGCGUUGUGCGUCGCAUCUUCAACUACCUGUGCGGCGUCGGCAGCAUCGACGAGGAUGAAGGAAAAGCCAAAGAAAUGAUGGACCAUCUGGAAGACAUAGCCAGUUUACAGCAGAGCAAAUGCGUUAAAGUCGUGCUGACUGUUGGCCUCUGUAUUAUCAUGGGGAUAGGGGUUGCCAUGUACAUAUUCUGGUCUCUGUACAAGUUUGACACCCCACCGUUUUAUCCAGAGGGCGCUGCUUCUCUUCUUCCUGGAGAUUAUAAUUCGUCCAUGACAGCAAUGAAUACAACCGUUUAAUGUACACUCGGUUUCAUGACAGACUUCAUAUUCACAUACUCGAUUAUCCAGCGUAUAUUAGGGGCAGUCGUCUAAGGCGCCGCCAUUCGCUGCGCUGAGUUGCGUCCCUUUGGCACGCCAGAAAAAAAAAUAUAAUCGUGGGAUCGAAGGUUUCUAGGUUUGUCAGCACCAUUCCCGUGCUCGUGGGUGUAACCAAAGUGGAAAACGUCUAAGACCUGCAUCACUUUGGGCUUGCCUCACACCGUAAGCUGAUAUAACUUGAAUAUUGUUAAAAGCGGCGUUAAACCCAACAUACUCACUCACUCCUGCGUAUUAUAUAUCUCCAUUCGCCACUGACGUCACCAUAUCAAUCUCUCUUAUUAAUUAUGCUUAACAUUUUCUCUUGCUCAUAACCACCUCCGUGGUCUAGUGGUAGAGCGUCCGCCUGGAGAGCGGAAGGUCCGGGGUUCGAUCCCCAGCCGCGUCAUUCCAAAAGACGUUAAAGAUGGUACUGUUACCCUGUCGCUCGGCUUUAAGGGGCUAAAAUAAGGACUGGUCGGCUCGGAGUCAGUAUACGGUGUCUGAGAGGGAUAUUCAUGUUUAACUGCAGCAGGGUAUCUCAGUGGGCUAGCACUAUAAGUCGGCAUCAGUACUAGUGUACAAGCAGCAACACACACACGAGCGUUAUAAGUGCAAUAAUCUUGCGCGCAACGUUAAACCCCAUUUCGCUUCCCCUUCUCAUGCUCAUUAUUUAAUUUGAUUGGACAUCUUUUUUAGUAUUAUUUAAUUUUUAUCCCGCCCAAAAACGAAGCUAUUGUACCAAAUGGGUCCAGGGAAUUUAUCAAAAUAGAAUGGAGAUGUGACACACUGGAUAAUCGAGGGUGUUAUAUUUAUAUUUGAAAUAAGUAUGUUGAAGACUAUCGACCCUGUUUUAAUUAAUUUGAAAAAAGUCGUGAUAUGUAUAUUAUUAUAUAUCCACCUACUGAUGUAGUUCAUCAAUUCUCUUAUCUUUAAACAUAAUGUAAAUGUUGUCAUGGCAACAGCAAAUAUGACAGUAACCUUUAUGAUAUAUAUAAUGUCACAAGAGAAGUGACAUUUGAUAAUUCACCUGUAUUUAAUGACAUUAGGCUCCUUGCGAUGAGUUGGGGAAUAGUAAUCAUAGCGAUUCUAAACAGAAUAAGCUGGACCCUAACAAUCCUUUGACCGAUUACAUUUUCUAGAUGUGACAUUUUGAAUUAUUAUUAAAUAUCAAUUAUGUAACACAUCUCUUCUUCCUACUUCCUACUAUCGUUUAGUUGUCAUCUGUGUAUGAGUGAACUACCAACGAUCUAGCUUGAGGUGGGAACUGCGUAGUGUAUAGUAUAGAGGCGCUAUUGAACUACCAACGAUCUAGCUUGAGGUGGGAACUGCGUAGUGUAUAGUAUAGAGGCGCUAUUGAACUACCAACGAUCUAGCUUGAGGUGGGAACUGCGUAGUGUAUAGUGUAGAGGCGCUAUUGAACUACCAACGAUCUAGCUUGAGGUGGGAACUGAGUAGUGUAUAGUGUAGAGGCGCUAUUGAACUACCAACGAUCUAGCUUGAGGUGGGAACUGCGUAGUGUAUAGUGUAGAGGCGCUAUUGAACUACCAACGAUCUAGCUUGAGGUGGGAACUGCGUAGUGUAUAGUGUAGAGGCGCUAUUGAACUACCAACGAUCUAGCUUGAGGUGGGAACUGCGUAGUGUAUAGUGUAGAGGCGCUAUUGAACUACCAACGAUCUAGCUUGAGGUGGGAACUGAGUAGUGUAUAGUGUAGAGGCGCUAUUGAACUACCAACGAUCUAGCUUGAGGUGGGAACUGCGUAGUGUAUAGUGUAGAGGCGCUAUUGAACUACCAACGAUCUAGCUUGAGUUGGGAACUGCGUAGUGUAUAGUGUAGAGGCGCUAUUGAACUACCAACGAUCUAGCUUGAGGUGGGAACUGAGUAGUGUAUAGUGUAGAGGCGCUAUUGAACUACCAACGAUCUAGCUUGAGGUGGGAACUGCGUAGUGCAUAGUGUAGAGGCGCUAUUGAACUACCAACGAUCUAGCUUGAGGUGGGAACUGUGUACUGUACAGUAUAGAGGCGUUUUGGGGCUUUUGGGGGAAACAUCUCAUUGUUGAAUGGGUAGUCUAUGCCAUAUUGUUUAAAGAGGUACGUUUAAAGUUAGCACUUUACCAUUAGGGUAUUUAGUGAAUGCAUGGUGGGUAAAAGUUCUAAUAACAUCGCCAAAACGAUUUAAUUCGCCAUACAUAUAAAACAGAUUGUACAAAUAAUGUUAAGGGAUUCGAAGAAUGUGAAAAGAAAAACAGAAUGUAUUUUUGUGCUUUUAUUACGUUUACGAAAUUUAGGUAAAUUCGCCAUUAUUCUGUUUGGAUUACAAUGAAGAUUUUCAUUCUUGCCCAGCCAUUGAAUCAAACUUAACUGGGCUCUAGGGAACAAGGUUACAGAACAAAAGAGGAAAUUGGGUUUCAAGUACAUUGUGUAAGUUUCUCUCUGCCGGUAGGGCGUUGCUACAAGGAGGCUUAUCUGACUCCUUAUAUCUUCAUCUAUAGUACAUGUUUUGUUUGUUUGUUGUUUAACGAGUCUGGACCAGACAAUCCAGUGAUUAACAUCAUGAGCAUCGAUCCACGCAAUUGGAAUACGAUGAGAUACAUCAACUAGGUCAGCGAGCCUGACCACCCGAUCCCGUUAGUCGCAUUGUACGGCAAGCAUGGAUUGUUGAAGACCUAUUCUACCUCGUACCUUCACGGGGACAACAGUACAUGUAAGCAAUGCCCACCAACCUGCUUGUUUCCCAAUAAUAACAGCAAUUCGCCGGAGGGGUUUGCCUACAGCAGAUCUUCCUUAUGGUGAAGUUAGUUUAUAAUGGCCCUUGUUGUUGGUGGUGUCAACCGGACUGAUGAUGUCGGGGCACUGGCGUUAGGGUGUGUGGCCAAAAUGGCAGCCGUUUCAAAUCGACCCCAUUCGUCACCACUCGCCCCUUUCCGUAACCUGCAAGAAGACUCGUCCCCCUAUCGAUGAAUG
This 5318-nucleotide unclassified non-coding RNA is filed under the name Haliotis rufescens (red abalone). Its description in RNAcentral is "sodium/glucose cotransporter 4-like, transcript variant X1". The stretch from base 2699 to 2757 matches the Rfam family "tRNA", at positions 7 to 64 of the family's 71-position model. The record is from RNAcentral. Lineage: Eukaryota; Metazoa; Mollusca; Gastropoda; Lepetellida; Haliotidae.